RNAcentral lists this ribosomal RNA (431 nucleotides) under uncultured bacterium. RNAcentral describes it as "bacterial SSU rRNA". It matches the Rfam family "Bacterial small subunit ribosomal RNA", at positions 335 to 755 of the family's 1533-position model. The record is from RNAcentral.
ACUCCUACGGGAGGCAGCAGUGGGGAAUAUUGCGCAAUGGACGAAAGUCUGACGCAGCGACGCCGCGUGGAGGAUGAAGGUUUUCGGAUCGUAAACUCCUGUCAAGAGGGAAGAAACCUAUCAUGAAUAAUACUUAUGGUAAUUGACGGUACCUCUAGAGGAAGCACCGGCUAAUUUCAGUGCCAGCAGCCGCGGUAAUACUGAAGGUGCAAGCGUUAAUCGGAAUCACUGGGCGUAAAGCGCUCGUAGGUGGCUUUGUAAGUCAGGUGUGAAAGCCCACGGCUCAACCGUGGAAUUGCACUUGAUACUGCAUCGCUAGAGUAUAGGAGAGGGAAGUGGAAUUUCUGGUGUAGGAGUGAAAUCCGUAGAGAUCAGAAGGAACACCCGUGGCGAAAGGCGACUUCCUGGACUAUUACUGACACUGAGGAGCG